UACGUAGGGGGCUAGCGUUGUCCGGAAUCAUUGGGCGUAAAGCGCGUGUAGGCGGUCCGGUAAGUCCGCUGUGAAAGUCGGGGGCUCAACCCUCGGAUGCCGGUGGAUACUGCAGGGCUAGAGUCCGGAAGAGGCGAGUGGAAUUCCUGGUGUAGCGGUGAAAUGCGCAGAUAUCAGGAGGAACACCGAUAGCGAAGGCAGCUCGCUGGGACGGUACUGACGCUGAGGCGCGAAAGCGUGGGGAGC
RNAcentral lists this ribosomal RNA (246 nucleotides) under uncultured bacterium. RNAcentral's name for it is "partial 16S ribosomal RNA". It matches the Rfam family "Bacterial small subunit ribosomal RNA", at positions 524 to 769 of the family's 1533-position model. The record is from RNAcentral.